RNAcentral lists this transfer RNA (68 nucleotides) under Neotoma fuscipes (dusky-footed woodrat). Its description in RNAcentral is "tRNA-Thr". The record is from RNAcentral. Lineage: Eukaryota; Metazoa; Chordata; Mammalia; Rodentia; Cricetidae.
GCCCUGAUAGUAUAACCAAUUACUUUGGUCUUGUAAACCAGAAAUGAAGAAAAAAUCUUCUCAGGGCA